RNAcentral lists this unclassified non-coding RNA (316 nucleotides) under Hevea brasiliensis (rubber tree). Lineage: Eukaryota; Viridiplantae; Streptophyta; Magnoliopsida; Malpighiales; Euphorbiaceae. The record is from RNAcentral.
GGCUUAACCAUGAAAAAAGAGUCCUCAACAUCUCACCACUCAGGUUGCUGCCUAAAAAAGAGCUAAAAGAGGGGAGGAAGCAUUAAGCUGCAUUAAUGUUAAUAGGGAAACAUGUAUUGCAAUCUCUGGUUGCCUCAACUCAGUUAGGCUUGCUAAUGUUGCACUGUGCGUGUAGCAAAUAGUGACACUCCCACAAAUGAAGCAUUUCAUGCUGAUGGUUGCAUUGAGUGAUAGGCAAGUGUAACUACGCUUGCUUGCCACUUUUUCCCCAGCUGAACAAAUUGUUUUGACAUGGUAGGUUUUUCCAAGCAGAUUC